Molecule: ribosomal RNA, 48 nt
Filed under: Ophiostoma fasciatum
Lineage: Eukaryota; Fungi; Ascomycota; Sordariomycetes; Ophiostomatales; Ophiostomataceae
Description: partial 28S large subunit ribosomal RNA
Source: RNAcentral
UGACCUCGGAUCAGGUAGGACUACCCGCUGAACUUAANCAUAUCAAUA